UGGGAAACUGAUACAUGGGGAGUCCGAGCAGUGCUUUGCCCAUCACAAGUUUUCCCUAUAUCAAACCUGCUCUCUGAUGACAUGACUCUGAUCGCCAUGGACAGAUACGGGGCAGACAGUC
Myxocyprinus asiaticus (Chinese sucker) is the source of this 121-nucleotide non-coding RNA. RefSeq annotates it as small Cajal body-specific RNA 8. The transcript has a single exon. The record is from RefSeq and is a predicted model, not a curated record. Lineage: Eukaryota; Metazoa; Chordata; Actinopteri; Cypriniformes; Catostomidae.